Molecule: ribosomal RNA, 433 nt
Filed under: uncultured bacterium
Lineage: Bacteria
Description: partial 16S ribosomal RNA
Rfam family: Bacterial small subunit ribosomal RNA
Source: RNAcentral
AACGAACGCUGGCGGCAUGCUUAACACAUGCAAGUCGAACGAGACCUUCGGGCCUAGUGGCGCAGGGGUGCGUAACGCGUGGGAAGUUGCCCUUAGGUUCGGUAUAACUCCCCGAAAGGGGUCUUAAUACAGGAUAAUGUCUUAGGACCAAAGAUCUAUUGCUUUUGGAUGGGCCCGCGUUGGAUUCGGCGGUUGGUAGGGUAAAAGCAGACCAAGGGGACGUUCCAGAGCUGGUCUGAGAGGAUGCUCAGGCACACUGGGACUGAGACACGGCCCAGACUCCUACGCGAGGGAGCAGAGGGGAAUAUUGGACGAUGGGCGAUAGCCUGGUACAGCAAUGCCGCGUAAGUGAUGAAGGCCGUAGGGUUGUAAAGCUCUUUUACCCGAGAUGAGAAUGACGGUACCGGGAGAAUAAGCUCCGGCUAACUCCGUG